GGGAGACCAACUGUCAGAAACACCAAAGCCGCUUCAGCCGAGAUCCAGAGUCAGGUUUGGUGCCGUCCAGCGUUUGAGGAUGAGGAUGCCACUUUCUGCAGGACAAUGGAUCUGUCUGCUCACCUUCGCUGGAGUGACGCUUAUCACCGCCUCAAUAGGUAAAUACAGAACAUAUUGAUAAGUCAGUAGACAGCCUGAGGGAGUUAUGAAAUGCAUAUACUAGGACCACUUUUAAAACUGGCUGUUGGUUGAUUUGUUUUUGUUAUAAUGCAAGAAGUAAAAAACAAUUUAUUUGACCUUGAUUAAUCCAAGUUUGAAAAGCCUCCCCCCCUUUUAACUACGAAGACGACAUGAUAAAUUAAAGCAUGAAUCAAAAAUAUCUAUCUUAAUAUUCAUACCUAGUAGCUUAAGCGUUUGGUAUAAAAUGAGUGGCUCUCUGAAAUGCACCAACCUGAAGACAUGGAAGAAGAGAGCGGUUAUUGUGAGCAAAAGAUUUGUCCUAAUAGGCGUUUUUUUUUUUACGGUGAAAACUCGGCAGACUGAGGUUUAAUCUGAGCAUGCAUCACUAAAGUGUCCUCUCCUUGAGCUUGGUGGUGCAUGAUAGAUUCUGUCUCAAAGAAGCAGCGAUCUUGUUUAAAACUUAAAAAUGAAUUUGCAACAAUCACCUUUGAGGGAGAAUUUUGUGGGAAGAGCAAAACAUGUGUUUAUCUCUUUUUAAAUGUUUUAGAUGUUAUAAUGGCAGUGCCUAACUCAUUGUAUGGAUGUGUGUGUGUACGUGUGUUGGUGCGUUACAGCAGAUGUAGGAAUACCCUGCUGUUAUGAGGCUGCCCCUUAUACACCUGAUGAGAUCGUACUGUGCUUCCAACAGACACCCACGAAGCAGUGCAGAUCAAAUAACUAUGUGUAAGUACAACACGCUUACUCGUGUGUUUGCCAGAAAUACAGAUGACAAACGAGCCUCUGUGACACAGCUGACUGUUUUUGGUUUUUGAGACCAUCAACUCUUUGACCCUUUCAUUUUGUUUCUAGGGUCAAAGUUAAGAGUGGCGCAUGGCAGUGCAUCUUAUGUGACUCAAAGUGGAUAAAACAACAAAUAAAUAAGGUAAGACUCAGUCGAUCAGCUUUUUUUGUUGGAAGAGGAGUUUCUCUGUCAGGUUAAACUAAAGAGAGAGAUAAUGUUAAUAUCCUCUUUGAAAACCCAUUUUUACAAAAGUGUGCUUUUAUAACUUAACUUUCAAUUAAGUCUCAACUCAUUUUAUUAUGAAUUAAAUUUAUUUUAUUUCAUUUUAUCUUAUUAUGAUCAUCAUAAUUCAAUUUUAACUUAUUUUCAAGAAAACCUAACACAGUUGGGGUUUCAUCUUUCAUCAUCUUUCAUUCUUUUAUUGAAUUCUAAAUCAUAUCUGUUGACUGGCUGUUAAGUAAAUUAAAUUGAAGUCCUCUGCUGUUUUGAAAAGUGCGAUAUACAUAAAGUUACUAAUAUGCUAACACACUGAAAAAGGAAUAAAACAGAUUUCUUUUUGCUGUCUUUCUCCUGCUUCUCUCCACAGGGGAAAAUCAGCUGUUCUGAAACAAAAAAAUUUGAAUUCUGUGAGGAGUAAAAACAGGAUGGAGCUCCUGAGAACUCCUCUGCCGAUGAAACCCUCACAGCUUUUGGUGCUUUUCUGUUAAAUUUCUUUUGCAUUGCAGAUUACACAAUGCAGCGUUAUUUACAGUAAGAUGGAUGAGAACAGUAUUUUGGUUUUUGCACUGACAAUCUUUCCAUUGGUACAGGCUGAACAUGUGAUAAUGAUGACAAAUUACUUGGUUAUAAAACUUUAGUGUGGUUAGUUUAGUCCUUUUUUUGUGUUUUUUACUUGACAUGCAAAUCUAAAAUUUGGUAUUACAUUGUUCCAAUCAUGAUAACAAUAGACGUGUGAUAAUGAAGCACAAAUUACGGAGCGCAAAUCAUCUUUGUCUUAAUCAUCUGCUGUUGCCAAUUAUUUUCACAACCUGUGUUUGCAACAUGUUUUUCUGAAAUAAAAAAAUAAAACUCCA
This is a non-coding RNA of Xyrichtys novacula (pearly razorfish), 2034 nucleotides long. Lineage: Eukaryota; Metazoa; Chordata; Actinopteri; Labriformes; Labridae. The record is from the annotation of a GenBank genome assembly.